RNAcentral lists this ribosomal RNA (490 nucleotides) under uncultured bacterium. Its description in RNAcentral is "partial 16S ribosomal RNA". It matches the Rfam family "Bacterial small subunit ribosomal RNA", at positions 30 to 507 of the family's 1533-position model. The record is from RNAcentral.
AUUGAACGCUGGCGGCAGGCCUAACACAUGCAAGUCGAACGGUAACAGGAAGCAGCUUGCUGCUUUGCUGACGAGUGGCGGACGGGUGAGUAAUGUCUGGGAAACUGCCUGAUGGAGGGGGAUAACUACUGGAAACGGUAGCUAAUACCGCAUAACGUCGCAAGCCCAAAGAGGGGGACCUUCGGGCCUCUUGCCAUCGGAUGUGCCCAGAUGGGAUUAGCUAGUAGGUGGGGUAACGGCUCACCUAGGCGACGAUCCCUAGCUGGUCUGAGAGGAUGACCAGCCACACUGGAACUGAGACACGGUCCAGACUCCUACGGGAGGCAGCAGUGGGGAAUAUUGCACAAUGGGCGCAAGCCUGAUGCAGCCAUGCCGCGUGUAUGAAGAAGGCCUUCGGGUUGUAAAGUACUUUCAGCGGGGAGGAAGGGAGUAAAGUUAAUACCUUGGCUCAUUGACGUUACCCGCAGAAGAAGCACCGGCUAACUCCGUG